GGAUGGAGUAUAACUUUAAUUUAAGAUUAUGAAAUUUACAAAUAUUUUAUACUACUUUCUUAAAGUUCUUGUGAAGCAAACUAGUUCGUAAAUAACAAGUUGAGGGAUAAGGACAAAAGCUUAGCUCCCAAGACAAAUUAUGAAAUGUAUUGCUUGCGUGUUUCCAGCUCCAUUGUGUUAUCUUUGAAAAUCUUUAUAUGAUAGAAGGAAGAUAUGAUUGCUUUCAAAAGCACCUCUAGAAUUUGAAUCGGAGGAAGAUAAUCAUCAUAUGGAUAUGAUGGAAUCCGGAAAAGAAAUUUCUGAGGAAAUGACUCGGGAGUCACUAAUUGCCAUAUCUUACUCUGAAGCAAUGAAGGAUCUUUCUCUGCGGCCUAGACCUAAAAUAUCCAGUGCUGAAAAUGUUAUUAAAGCGGUAAAUGAUAAUUACAGGUCUAAGCUGAUCACAAUGUUCUACACAGAGUCACCAGACACCAAAGUUGAACCAGUCGCCUGUAAACUUUAGGGGCUAAAUUAAAUAGUUGGAUUGUAAUACUCUUCCUUUGCAGCAUGUUCUAUUUUACAGAUAAAGAAUUGGAUUUAACUUGAAUCCAGUGCUCCCCGUGGACUUUAUCCUAUGAACUAUUUUGUUGUAUCAACAUAAACCAAGUUUUGGUGUUUCACCAGCAUUUAUAUUAGUUUUGGUGCAUCUUUUUCAA
This is a long non-coding RNA of Capsicum annuum, 695 nucleotides long. RefSeq lists it as uncharacterized. NCBI's taxonomy places the organism in Eukaryota, Viridiplantae, Streptophyta, Magnoliopsida, Solanales, Solanaceae. The transcript is spliced from 2 exons. The record is from RefSeq and is a predicted model, not a curated record.